GGGAGAAGGUACGCUCUCGACGGUGAAGUCCCUCGCGGAUGGAGCUAUUGAGAGUCGCAGAUACCAGGUGGCUGCAACUGUUUAUUAAAAACACAGCACUGUGCAAAAUCGCAAGAUGACGUAUACGGUGUGACGCCUGCCCGGUGCCGGAAGGUUAAUUGAUGGGGUUAGACUUCGGUCGAAGCUCUUGAUCGAAGCCCCGGUAAACGGCGGCCGUAACUAU
Molecule: ribosomal RNA, 223 nt
Filed under: Vibrio diabolicus
Lineage: Bacteria; Pseudomonadati; Pseudomonadota; Gammaproteobacteria; Vibrionales; Vibrionaceae
Description: partial 23S ribosomal RNA
Rfam family: Bacterial large subunit ribosomal RNA
Source: RNAcentral